CUCUGGGUCACCUCCCACCCGUGUUUAUUUUACCUUGUUGCUUCGGCGGGCCCGCCUUAACUGGCCGCCGGGGGGCUUACGCCCCCGGGCCCGCGCCCGCCGAAGACACCCUCGAACUCUGUCUGAAGAUUGUAGUCUGAGUGAAAAUAUAAAUUAUUUAAAACUUUCAACAACGGAUCUCUUGGUUCCGGCAUCGAUGAAGAACGCAGCGAAAUGCGAUACGUAAUGUGAAUUGCAAAUUCAGUGAAUCAUCGAGUCUUUGAACGCACAUUGCGCCCCCUGGUAUUCCGGGGGGCAUGCCUGUCCGAGCGUCAUUGCUGCCCUCAAGCACGGCUUGUGUGUUGGGCCCCGUCCUCCGAUCCCGGGGGACGGGCCCGAAAGGCAGCGGCGGCACCGCGUCCGGUCCUCGAGCGUAUGGGGCUUUGUCACCCGCUCUGUAGGCCCGGCCGGCGCUUGCCGAUCAACCCAAAUUUUUAUCCAGGUUGACCUCGGAUCAGGUAGGGAUACCCGCUGAACUUAAGCAUAUCAAUAAGCGGAGGA
Molecule: ribosomal RNA, 540 nt
Filed under: Penicillium chrysogenum
Lineage: Eukaryota; Fungi; Ascomycota; Eurotiomycetes; Eurotiales; Aspergillaceae
Description: eukaryotic LSU rRNA
Rfam family: 5.8S ribosomal RNA (bases 162-314)
Source: RNAcentral